Molecule: long non-coding RNA, 1170 nt
Organism: Oncorhynchus tshawytscha (Chinook salmon)
Lineage: Eukaryota; Metazoa; Chordata; Actinopteri; Salmoniformes; Salmonidae
Source: Ensembl
CUUGAAAGAGAUCGCCGUCCGACAAACUGCUAUCAGGAAGGGACCAAGCACGCGCCCCCAAGGGCCCCCCGCUUUGAGGAUCUGUGUAGCGGAUGUGUUGUUGCCUAUCUUCACCACCCGGGGGCAACCUGUCAAGAAGUCCAGGAUCCAGUAGCAGUGGGAGGUUUUCAGUCCCAGGGACAUUAGCUUAGUGAUGAGCUUCGAGCUGUAGUCAAUGAACAGCAUUCUCAUGUAGAUGAUCCUUUUGUCCAUGUGGGAGAGGGCAGUGUGGAGUGCAAUAGAGAUGGUCUCAUCUGUGGAUCUGUCUAAGAAUUGGAGUGGAUCCAAGGUAUCUGGGAUGAUGUUGUGAGCCAUUACUAGCCUUUAAAAUCUUUUCAUGGCUACAGAUGUGCGUGCCAUGGGGCGAUAGUCUUUUUAAAACAUGUAGGUAUUACAGACUGGGUCAGAGAGAUGUUGAAAAUGUCAGUGAAGACACUUUCCAGCUGGUCAGCGCAAGCUCUGAGUACGCGUCCUGGUAAUCCGCCUUGUGAAUGUUAACCUGUUUAAAGGUCUUACUCAUCGGCUAUGGACAGCGUGAUCACACAGUCGUCUGGAACAGCUGGUGCUCUCACGCAUGGUUUAGUGUCGCUUGCCUCGAAGCGAGCAUAGAAGGCAAUUAGAUCAUCUGGUAGGCUUGUGUCACUGGGCAGCUCGUGGCAAUGUUUCCCUUUGUAAUCUGUGAUAGUUUGCAAGCCCUGUCACAUCCGACAAGCGUCAGAGCCGGUGUAGUAGGAUUUGAUCUUAGUCCUGUAAACUACAUUAUGUUGUUGUUCAAAACAACAAGCGAAUCAAAGCUCUUGAGUCAUCGGCCAUAUUGAACAAAUUAUCUGAUCUCAUGCCUAGUUAUUGGCAACAUCUGUUGGAGGGUGUAUGUCUUAGGUAUGAUCAAGCACCAAGAUUAUCUGAUUUGUUUCAAAAUUAGGCAUUGCAAUCAUCCAUACACUGUGAGUCAAGGUACAGAUCAAGCCUAGUUAGCAGACAGAGAUCAUCUUCGGGACAGGUCUGUCUGUCCAUCUAUCCAUCCAUCCAUCCGUCCACACUUAUCUGGAAAAAAUGAUUGACAGGUUGGGUCUUUAUUUCCCUGGGGAUUAGUACCCCCCCUCCAAGCCCCCUCUUACCCCCCAAUUCUUC